Molecule: long non-coding RNA, 1138 nt
Organism: Diabrotica virgifera virgifera (western corn rootworm)
Lineage: Eukaryota; Metazoa; Arthropoda; Insecta; Coleoptera; Chrysomelidae
Exons: 2
Source: RefSeq, a predicted model, not a curated record
CUGUAUGAGCUUUCGUAACGUUCGGUUGUGUGACAGUUCAGUGUGGAAGUGAUAAUUCAAAAAAAACGCAGGCGACAAAAACAAAAUAGGAACUACAUAAUAGAGCUACAGAAAAACAAGAAGAAGGACAAGGACCACAUAGGACCAAAAAAAAAAAAUAGAUCUGAAGUUGACAGGACACCUGGUUGUGCAUUGCCUUGAGCAAGACGCGCAUAACCAAUAACAUGUACUGGGUAAAUGAUUAAAAAAAAAUCGAAACCCAAAAAAAAGGAAGAAGAAGAAGAAGAAGAAGAGCGAAGUGACGACACCAUCUUUUUUAUUUGGAUUAGUGCUGUUUCACUCUUACGCAUAGUAAAGCUGCUAUACUACAUUCGCUCUCGCGAGAUUUUUUUUGAGACAUUCGGAAUAGGAAACGUACAACACAAAAAUUCCUACCUCACACUAUUAACUGCUAAAAUCAACUCAAAUCAACUUAAUCUUUCAUUAAAAAAAGAAGAAUUAUUAGAAAUAGUGGGAGUGUCUACUAAUCUCAUAAAAUUUUGUGAAGUUUAUUUCUACAAAAUAUUUUUAUUUUGUACAAUAAAUAAUUUUCUCAUUUGCUAUCAAUACAUUAUAAUGGUUUAAAUAAAUAAAUAUUGAUUGGCGUAAGGUUUAUGUUAUUUUUAUGUCUGUUUACUAUUAAUAAUAUUGGAUAUGAGCAGGUGCGUUGGUUUUGUAGUAAUUUCCAGUCACUUCUGACAACUGAAUUUUUCAAAAAAGAAAUUACUAACGUCAGUGUCAAAAAAAAUCUCGCGAGAGCGAAUGUAGUAUACAGUUGUCCUCCUCUUCCGUGCCUAUAUUCACACUGAAUGUCAUCAUAGAUUUUCGAUACAAUGUGUAGAAAGAGAUGCAGCAAACCAGUCCAUGAGAUCUUGUCGUCAGGAAGCGCGGAAGGUAGGCUCCCUCUAUGUUAAUAUAUACCUCUAUGCGUCCGAGACAGGACGAGCCGUUAAAUACCGCUAUGAAUUCCACGAUUUUAUUGGUUAGAACUACCCACGUGAUAUCUGUGUUCAUAUUGGUCAGAGUGACAAUCAGCUGUUAGACAUCAUUAUGUGAUGGAAUUUUUAUUAUGAUGUAAAUAAAUAUUUAUUACUGAUAA